RNAcentral lists this small RNA (67 nucleotides) under Sinorhizobium meliloti 2011. RNAcentral describes it as "putative ncRNA". Lineage: Bacteria; Pseudomonadati; Pseudomonadota; Alphaproteobacteria; Hyphomicrobiales; Rhizobiaceae. The record is from RNAcentral.
AGCGAAGUGAAAUGCGUCGGGCGACGGCGGGGUGGCCGAUUUGGCCCCGCGCCGCAUCCGCCUCCGU